AUCACAGUACUGCCUACAUCCGAUCAUGCGCAAUGGUUCUUCAUUUGAGUUGAAGGGCUGCUUUUGCGACCACUGACCCGUUUGAAAUUCUGUUGGCUGACCUUCAAGUCUGUGUUAGUCAUCCUUGUCCUUUGAUCUUGGAGCUUAACGUGGUUUCAGUCACAUAUGGUCAGUUUCAAUAUUAUUUCUUAUCUAAUGUACAGGAACAUCCAGUCAUAAGAGCAAAGAACUGUAAAGCUUAUGAGUAACUACCUCUACUCGUUAAUUACUUGGCUACACUUUUGUCUACUGUUUCAAUCAUAGUGUUAGUAUAAGAUUUCUAAUAAUUAUUUGCCAAAUCUCACCUUUACAGUCAUCUAGCAGCAAACCAGUUUCCAGGGCUGGUACAAAAUAUUAAACCCAUAAAAAUAUUUAGACAUACCAUACAGAAUGUAUGGACAUAUGCUAUCAAUUCCCUCCUUUCUGUUUGAGGCUACUAAUUCUUUUAGUAGUCUCACUUGAACUAGAUCGUGUCACAGCUCAUUUAAGACAGCCAAAAGCGACACAGAUUAUAACAAUGAUGAUAACUACUUCUCUUGCUUUCUUGGUGAGACAAGGGAAAGCCUCAGGCCACCCAGCAAAGGUAUCAACUAGAACUAGGAUAUAUCGAUAUCCUUCUUUUUGAGGCAAUUCUGUAAAAUCAAUUUGCCAAUAUUCUCCUGGAGAAUUUCCUUGCUUAGUAAUUCCAAAAAUGAUUUUAUUACUGGUUUGGGGAUUAUUGCGUAUACAAAUUUCACAUCUAUUUGUAAUUGUUCGAAUAAUUUUUGUCAUAUCUUUAUUCAAAAUACACUUUUGUAAAUGUUUAACAAGGUUUUCUGUUCCCCAAUGUAUUUUGUUACGUUCCGCUUAGGCAAUUUCUCUCAUUAUUGCAAGUGGGAUUAUUAUUUGACCUGUCGGUGUUACAGCCCAUCCUGUCUCAUUUUUGUUAGCCUGCAAUUUAAUAAUUAAUUCUUCAUCUUUUUUCAUUAUAAUUUGGAGCUUCUUUAGGCAAAUUUACACUUUUCUCUGGAACUAGUGCUAGGAUGCCUUUUUCUACACCCUCUUUAGCAGCUUAUCAGCCAAUUGGUUACCUGUUUCAGGAACUGUCUUACCUAACUGAUGUGCUUUACAGUGCAUUACCACGACUGCUGUUGGCUUUUGAACGGAUUCUAACAAUUUCAGUAUUUGUUCUGCAUGCUGAAUGGUGGUUCCUUGUGCAGAUAACAGUCCUCUUUCUUUCCAUAUUGCUCCAUGUGCAUGUACUACUCCAAAAGCAUACUUUGAGUCUGUCCAAAUGUUGACUUGCUUUCCUUGACUUAGUUCCAGUGCUCGAGUAAGAGCUAUCAAUUCAGCUUUUUGGGCAGAUACAUUCGAAGGCAAAGCUCGUGAUUCAAUUACCUUCUCAGCAGUGGUUACCGCAUACCCUGAUAAACAUUUUCCUUCACGGAUGAAACUGCUUCCGUCGGUAUAUAGUUCCCAAACUGUUUCUUCCAGUGGCACAUCUCGGAGAUCUGGUCGGCUGGAGUAAUCUUCUUCGAUUGUCUGCAAGCAGUCAUGUUCCAGUUCUCCUUCAACUUGAUCAGUUGUUAAAGACACAGCAGGGUUAACGAUGGUAGUAGUUUUUAAGUAAACAUCAUCUUGCUCCAGCUACACCACUUGGUAUUUCAGCAUUCUACUAGUGGGUAACCAAUGCCCCCCUUUCUGUUCUAGCACGGUAAUUACCAUAUGGGGAACAUACACAGUAAUUCUUUGUCCUAAGGUGAACUUACGAGCUUCUUGGAUCAAUAGCACAGUUGCAGCGACGAUUCUCAGACAACCAGGCCAUCCCAGACUCACAUUAUCUAAUUGCUUCGAGAAGCUUGCCGACUUGGUCCCAGAUAUUGGGCCAGGACACCCAGAGCUAUACCCCUUCUUUCAUGAGUAAAAAGUUAAAAUGUCUUUGUGAGAUCUGGCGGGCCUAGGGCUGGCACCCCCAUUAGAGCCUGUUUCAGUUCUUUGAAAGCAGCUUUCCCGGCAUCAGUCCAAUCUAUAAACCCAUUGUUUGACUUUUUGAGCUGCUCGUAUAAAGGUCAGACCAGCAAGCCAUAAUUUGCAAUCCACAGGCAACACCACCCAACCAUUCCCAGAAAGGCUCGCAAUUCUUUUAGAGUCUUAGGUUCAGGGGAGACGACAAAUUGCCUCUUUUCUCUCAGUUCCUAAUUGUCUCUGUCCUUUUAGGAUUUCAAAACCCAAAUAAGUUACUUCUUUCUGGGUUAUUUGGGCUUUUUCUUUUGACACUCGAUAUCCACUGAUUCCCAAAAAGUUCAAAAGGCUAAUAGUUAACUUUGUGCCUUGUUCUUCUGUCUCAGCUGCAAUUAACAGAUCAUCAACAUAUUGCAACAAGAUUCCUUGAUUAUUGCCUUUCUUCCAAAUCCCUAAUUCUCAUGCCAAUUGAUUUCCAGAAAUGGUAGGACUAUUCUUAAAGCCUUGAGGCAAGACUGUCCAUGUAUAUUGUGUUUUUCUCCCAGUCUCAGGAUUUUCCCAUUCAAAAGCAAAAAGCUCUUGACAUUGGGCUCCAAGGGAAUACAGAAAGAGGCAUCUUUUAAGUCUAACAUUGUGAACCAUUGUUGUUUCUCUGUUAGGGUUGUUAAUAAAGUAUAAGAGUUCGCUACUACUGGAUGAAUAUCUUGUACUAUUUGAUUUAUCGCUCUGAGGUCUUGAACUAAUCUGUAAUCUUUUCCAUUAGCCUUUUUAACAGGCAAGAUCGGGGUGUUAUAUUUGGAUUCACAUUCUAUUAACAAUUUGUACUUUAGAAAUUUUUGUAUUAUCGGUACUAACCCUUUCCGACUUUCCAGUUUUAGGGCGUAUUGUUUAAUUCGUACCAGACUCGAUCCUGGCUUUAAAUCAAUUCUCACAGGUUCUGCUCUUUUGGAUUUACCAGGAACUUCCCCAGCCCAGACGAUUGGAAUUACAGCAUUAUUUACUUCGACUGGUAUGAUCUUCUGCUUUCAGUAAUUGUCUUGUAACAACAAAGCCACUGCUUCAAUACGUUUAGUUUCUGGAAGUAAAAUUUUAAUCUCUCAAUUUUUAAAUUUAAUUUCUCCUUCCAAUUUCUCAAGUAGGUCUCUCCCUAACAGGGCUUUAGGAGAAUUUGGCAAAUACAGAAACUGAUGAGUGACCCAUUGCUUUCCUAAUUUCAUUGCCAAAGGUUUGAAGAAGGGUCUAGUCUCUUGUUCACCUGUCGCACCAACAACACUAAUUUCCUCAGAACUUAAUUCCCCCUCUAAGGUAUUUAAAACUGAAAAGGUGGCUCCAGCGUCAACUAAACAUUCAAUUUUCUGUUCUCCCAGGUUAGCUGUAACCCAAGGUUCUGCCUCCCCUCCAGUCCCCGUCAAAUACUUUCACUCAACUUUCCCAGAAAAGGGGGAACUUGCUGAGGUUGCGCGGUUGGAAUUGGGAUCACUUGUGACCCUGUAGGUCUCAAGGGGCGUUCCCAUUUCCAGUGUCCUUCUUGUUUAUAGUACGCACACUGAUUUGGUCCAAGGGGCUGAUAUAAUCCCACUGGCGAGCCCAAUCCAGUUCCUCUUCCUCGCCCCAUUCCUCGACCAUGUCCCCUUCCUCGGAGGGUAACUCCUCUGCCUUGUCCUAUGCCAGCUCCUACUUCUAGAGCAGCCACUAACCUUGCAUUCAUUUUACUCUGUAAUUCAUCUCUAUUUCUGUAUACCACCCAAGCAACCUCUAAUAAUUUCCCCCAAUCUCGAGAAUCUGCUCCUUGUAAUUUUUGUAAGUUUCUUUUGAUAUCAUCAGAGGAUUGUCCUAUAAAUAAUGGAGCCAAUUGAGCUUUUCCUUCUUCAGACUCAGGAUCCAGAUUAGUAUAUUUCUUAGCAGCUUCUUUUAAUCUACUCAGAAAUUGAGUGGGAGACUCUCUUCUAUUUUGUUUAAUUUCAUAUAAUUUAGACAUGUUAAUUGCCUUAGGCAUAGCAGUUCUGAUUCCGAAUAGAACCCAUUUUUGAUACUGAUCUAACAGUCUUCUCUGAGCCAAAUUAUUAGGAUCCCAUCUGGGUUCUGUAGAUGGAAAAUUUUGUUCCACUGUUCCUUGUAAUACUCCAGAAGCUACUUGUGCUUCUACCUGGGUUUUAGCAACCCUCUGGAUCAUAUCUCUUUCUGCACUAUCAAAAAGUACUUCCAUUAUUACUUAUAUAUCUUUCCAAUCAGGAUCCUGAGUCUGAAUCAUUGUUUCAAAAGCAUGGGCUGUUUGAUCACGGUUUUCCUGAUAGCUCCCAGCUUCUAUUUUCCAAUUAUUUAAAUCCACAAUAGAAAAGGGUACUUUAAUAGUUGCCACACCCUCAGUCCCAAGCGCCUGAUGAAGAGGAGCUUGAAUAACUUCGCUCUGUUUAGCUCUUGUUCGCCCUGUGACAGGACUAUUCAUGGGCUCUCUUUCAUCACUACUUCUGGGAACAGCUCUAGGUGGGGCUUUUUGAGAUCCAAUUAUCAUUUCAGUAUCAUCCUCUCAUUCUUGCUUGUAUAACUUUAAACAUCUUUGCCCAAUACUACAUGCAGAACAACACCUUUUGAGCUUAUUGUCAACUUUUUUAUUUCUUUCUUUUUCUAAAGAUAACACAAAAGGAUUGCUGGGUGGUAUAUUAAUUCCACAAUCCUUUUGCCGGCUCAGGAUGAUUCUUUAAGGUAAAGAACAAAUUACAAUACAUAACUUUAUCCCAUUUUUGCUCACAUCUCAAGAAUAACGUAAGUUGUAACCUGGCGUUAUAAUUUAGCAUCCCAUUCACAGGCCACUUCUCCCCUUCAUUGAGCUUAUACAAAGGCCACCAAUGAUUAUAAUAUUUAAUCAAACCUCUCUGCAUGUUGCCACCUGGAACACUCCCAGCUGUUUCCAGUGUUUCAAAGUGCACCCCAAAGGUGAUUUUUUAGGGAUUUCACUUGAUUGCCCUGUUCCCAUUAUCAGUACCUUCAAUAUACAGAAAUAAAAAAUCGGAAAGCCAAAUAUCAGAGCCUAAGUCAAAGUACCAAGCAGAGUUAGUCAGAGAUCUAAGGUCAAAUCCAAAAUCAAUAAUCAAAUCCCAAAGCCUUAAUCAAAGUACCGAAUAGAGCAAUUCUCAGAAACUAAACCAGAUGGGUAUCUCUGUCUUCAAUCAGCGAGUCAACUACCCUUUAUCAGUAAAGUACUUCUACCAGAAUGCCAGAUUUUUAAGGAUCCUUUUGCAUUUCUUCCUUGCUGUCUUCUCUUAGUCAGGCUUACAGGUAAGAGUACCAGACAGAAUAUCAGACCAGAAUACCAGAACCAGGUUAAUCAAAAGAAUGCCUUUGAAUAAAAUCUUACCAGUGGCCUUGGCUUGUGAGCCUGGGGAACGGGGGAUCAAGGGUCUGCCCGAGAAAUCUCAGUGCCAGCUGGAAGUCCUGCGAUCACGUGUCCGUCAAGUCUCAGAAGCCUUGUCCCAUCUGGGUGCCACUAGAAAGAAAAUUAACUCUAUCCCAGCUGAAACCAGGACACUGGCUAAUGCUUGAGGCUCUCCAUGUUAUUCCUACCAUCUUGACUGGCCGUUCUUGUUCUUUGUUGCUGCUUUAUAGUGAGUGCCUUUUGCUCUGUAAGCAGCAGUACUCGGGCCGUGGGAGCCUACCGUCUCCCAGCUGCUGGGAAGUCUCUCUGCCAAAGGCAAAGAGCAAAACAGCCACGGCACAAUCUACAGCAAUUCUGCCUCUCGAGGAACCCAGCAGGCCCCUUUCUCUCACCUCUCACUCUGUCCAGCGAGGCUGGAAAGUGCGGUUGUUGCAGAAACUGCUACGCCCUGUGCCUCCUUCUCAGGUUGUUAGCCUGGCCCUGUGUACAGGCUGCUGAGGUGAUCGAGUCUGUGAUACUAGAUGUUUUACAUCUUGUGUUAAGAAAAGAACACAGUGGCUUUGUUAUACUGACUAGUGGUGGAUAAGAAAUCCUGUAUGUUGCAAAAUGUGUAAGAUACCAGAGAAAAUUACUUCUGGCCGACCUUGCAAAUUCCCUGAGAAGAUAAAGCCCUUAGGCCCUUUUCAGCUAACUUAGCUUAGAGUGUCAAUAUGGUUUGUGACAAAAGAAUGUAAAUCAAGAAAAGGUAGGUAGUAGAGUUACUAACGAACGUUCUUUAGGUUAAGUUGUAUCAAACAUGUAAAGUGUCCCACUGCGGAGAAUCACUAGAAGAGGGUCAGCUAGCGGAGAAGUGAGGAAGACUAUUGAAGACCUCCAGAGGACCCUUGAAGACCACGAAAGAUUUCGAGUGCGCCUGUGCCAAGGACAUUUACAUAUAUUGAUGAGCUCCUGGAAUUCAGAUGAGCAGCAAAGUGCAACCGUGACACUUGCUGGCAGGAGCGGCAAGGAGUGCGGAGCCUCGCUCCUGUACGGAGCAAAGAUGGAACCUUCAGGGCUCUACAGUCAUCUACUGAGGACAUCUAAUAU
Long non-coding RNA from Aquila chrysaetos chrysaetos, 6439 nucleotides. RefSeq lists it as uncharacterized. The transcript has 3 exons. NCBI's taxonomy places the organism in Eukaryota, Metazoa, Chordata, Aves, Accipitriformes, Accipitridae. The record is from RefSeq and is a predicted model, not a curated record.